UCGAAAUUCGAACAUCGAGUUUACCCAGUCACUGCUCAAUUUGCCAUGAGUGAUGUGGCUAAUAUCGUUUACGAACAUUCCCAGAUGAAGAGAUCUAAACUUGAUAAGGAUACAAGUUCUUCCACAAACAAUAUAUAUUCAACUAUCAAUGUAAGUUAGUACUUGAAGCGACCAGUUGAGCUAACUAGCCAAUUUAGCUAGCAAGCUAACAGUAGCUAAGACAUUACCAAAUUGGUUAGAGCUAACGUUACUUAUUAGAGGGCUUGCUUUUGCAUCACAAAUCACCUAGCAACUGCAUCAGACGCCAUGUUGGAAGACCAAAGUCAGUCUGUUGGAAGCCCUUCAACUGUUCACAUGGCUGGCAGGGUUUUGCUACCACUGGAAAAUGUGGAAACAUUUACCAUUAUAGUAAUUCAUUUUUCUAAGGACCCAGAAAACGGAGGCAGUGGGAGAACCUAUUCUAAUACAGAGAGAUGUAAAACCCUGUCUGCAGAUGAAGAGGUCCCAAUGACUGUCCCGAGAGAAUAAGGGUACAUCCUUGUAUACCAUGGAUUAUAAGUGUACCUAUAGCCCACUGAUGAAAUGCUUGUGAGGAAGCCAAGGACAUCAGGCAGGAGUGGCAUAAAAUCCACUCUUUACCAAGCAAUCCCUGGGACCCUUCCUGACAUGACAGUGCUGUCUGCUGGACCAAGUUUGAGGAGCAUGAGACCACAGCCUGCCAUUGCCAAGGUAUUGCAUGGAUUGGAAGAAAUUACUCUGGUUGACUCUCUAAAUUUGGUCCAGUGCUGUCAUGUCAGUGUCCCCUUACUGUCACCAGAGAUUCUAAAGCAUUCAAUUGCUCCUGCUUUCCCCCAACUCCCAGUAAAAGAAACGGUAAUUUAAACUUUGUCCCUACUUGCACUCAGUUUUACCACAUGGAGAGCUUAAAGGUGUCACCAUCAUUGUCAUCUGCUAUUGAGAAUGGCACAGUCGAGCAGUGUGCCCGUCCACUAUGGAAGAAAUUAUGAAACCACGUGUGACUGCUACCCGGUUUAGUGAGGCAUGCCACGUGCGUGGGCUGUCAUCUCGCCAUGGCCUAGCCAUGAGAAUGCUUAAAGGUGAGCGGCAAAACGAAACUAUGAGAAAGGGGCUUGAGCCAGAGGUUCUAUAGAACUACUCUGAAUUGUUUAAUGUCUCGGUCAAACCUCGUGGUUUCGUUGUGAACCCAGAUGCACCCCAUCUUGGGGCAUGCCCUGAUGGGAAAGUUUAUGACCCUUCUGCAGCGCCACCCUUCGGACUUGCCGAGAUCAAGUGCCCUGAUGUUGAGUGUAACUGAUGCGAAGCACAUUAACUUUGUCAAUGGCCCGGCCAAGCUCAAUCACAGCCACAAAUAUCACUGGCAAGUCCAGGGCCAACUGGCUGUAACCAGUUUAGAUUGAUGCAACUUUGUUACAAGCACUAGAAGUGAUAUUACAGUAGAGAGAGUUGAGAGAUGAUGCUUUGAUAGCAGAGAUGAGAGAAACUUUACUUCUACACCUACAUGGAUGUGUACUUUAAGAUGUAGUAUAGCAGGUGAGCCAAUCCCACUUGGCAGGCCACUGUAACAUUGUUGCCCAAGGCAAUGUACAUGUAAUGUAUUUAACUAAUCAAAAUUGUAUGUAGAGUAAAUUGUUUUAAUGAAUUAAUUGUGUGAUGUUUGUCUAUCCCGUGUGGCUCAGUUGGUUGAACAUGACAUUUGCAAUGCUAGGAUUGUGGGUUUGAUUCCCACAGGGGACCAGUACGACGUGAAAGUACGGAAAUGUAUGCACUCACUACUGGAAGUCACUCUGGAUAAGAGCAUCUGCUAAAUUACUAAAAUGUAAAUGUAAGCAACAUUGCAAUAGAAUAAAUUAAAAUCUUCAAAUUAAAAAAGGAUGUUCUCUAAUAGAUUAAUGCAUUAUGCAAACAAUAAAUCCCAAAACACCCAUCUUAUUCAUAAAAAAGAUUUAUCAAUACAUAUCCAAUAUACAAAUUAUCCCAAAUUCAUAUCUUGUCGAAUAGAUCAAUUUAUAAUAAUCACACAAAAAAACAUAUGUACACGUAGGUAUAAAGCCGUUAUUUAUAAUGACCUAAUUAAUUGAACUUAAAUCAAUCAUUGAUUUGUAUUGUGCCUUGCCUUGCUUGAGCAUGUUUUCACACUUGCUUAUCACCCUUGAGAUCCAGAGGGCCCUGGUAGUUCAUUAAGCAGCCGUUCGUCCACAGUUGAUUGACAGAGCCUGCCAGAAUGAUUGGGAGAAUCAUGUCCCAGAUAUGGUACCUCUUCACCCUCCUAAUGGCUCUUUCCACUAGCACUCCCAGACGUGAAAUGGCUUGCGUUCACUCUGUGUCCUUCCAUGUUAGCAGUUGCUCUUUUGAUUGAGGGAAGGAUGAGUGUUGCCCCCACAUCUGACAGCAUCCUAUUUAUGAUGUACCCCUUGUCUGCUGUGCAUCCAUCACCAGGCUCAAACAGCUUGAGGAUUCCAGAGAGACAAGUGAUCUCCUGAUCAGAGAUGGAUCCAGUGAAAAGCUUGGUGCAAUCCAAAUCAGGCCCUUAAUGAAGGUGGUGUGGUUUUUGUAAGAUGAAAAAGUCUCCGACUGUAAUGUCAGAGAGGAGAGGUUGGCACAUCUCAGCUCUGUGCAGUCCAUGAUAACUCUGACCUCUGAACAGAACACCUUGAACUUGCCAGGCAUGGUAGCCUGCACCUGCUUCCUGGACACAGCCCAAGACAAGAUAUAGGUAGUUGGUCCAGGUUAUUUUAACGUAGCUCACUGUAGGGACACACACCAAAGAUGUACGCCAACACCUUCUCCUUCAGCCCAGCUGCUACUCGACAGCAGUAAAGAAAAAACUUGUCAAUGAGUGGGAGCUUUCUGUUGGGGCUUGGUGUUGCGCUUCCCAUUCCAGCCUUCUGGGCCUAGAUUAACCUGGAGGCAGAGGGGGCAAUGGACUCCCAGAACAUCAUCAAGACCUCUGAGUGGAACCGGGUAUAGAACCUGACGUCCUCAUUGGGUGCACAGAAUCUUUGGAGCUGGAGAUGGUGAACAGAGAGCUGUUGGGCUUGGGGCUCUAGCUCCUUGAUUCAGUCCAGUGCAGCAUCCAACACACCUAUAGAAAAGAAAGGGGUAAUUUAUGUGGCAAAAUUGUGCUAUUAUUCAGUUUGAUUCUCAGUAUCAUGACACAGUAAACAAUCUCUUACUUAGUUUAGGUCUCAGGACAUAUGUAAUCAAUCAAGUAUGUUAUGGUAGUGCUAAGAAAUGUUGGUUCAAGGAACUAACGGGAGGGUGGCUUAAGUUGGAGAGCAGAGUGGGAAAACAGAGAGCAUGCAAGCUGGCUAGCGAGUUAAUAGUUUUGUUAUUGUUAUUUCAAAAGCUGAUUACAGGUAAUGCAAUACCUGAACUAUAGCAACGGUUUGCAAAACUACAACUUGAAGGAUAUUGUCUACAAUCCACUUUGAGAGAGGCUUUCCCUGUAUCUCCAAAGCACACAAACAGCUGAUCAGAGUAAUGGAUCCCCUGAGUCCGCUCCACGUACUCGUUUAGGGAUCUCACAGGACACAGAGUGCGUACAUCAACAUGAGCCCCAGAAGGCAUGGAGGUGGAUAAGGCUGUUGGCACCAUUUCCCUGUUCGCAGGACCUUUGGUAGGAAGGCGGGAUUAGGCCGCAGGGUAACGCUCGCCUUACCCGGCCCUAAAUGAUAACAUUCAUUACUAACAGGCAAAGCAUGGAGCUCGCCAACCCUCUUGGUAGAGGCGAUGGCCACCAGAAACGCUGUCUUAAGAGAGAGAUGUUUCAAGUCUAUUGGUUGGAAGGGAGGUCUGGAUAGUACUCCCAAGAACCAGAUUCAAAUCACAUUUGGGAACUGAGGGUGCUCUUGAGGGUUGUAAUCAACGGACUCCCUUAAGAAACCCGGCCAUGAGCGGGUGGCUGCCAAGCGGCCCAUCCUGCUCUUCAUCAUGACAUGCUGAAAUGGCUGCUACAUAUACCUUAUGUAUGGAUGCAGCCCUGCCAGUAUCGAACAAAGACCUAAAGAACUGGAACAAAGAUCUUAUGCCACAAGAUUCUGGUGCAACCCCCUGCUCCGCACACCGCUGGCAGAACACGUCACCUCGUGUCAUAGGUUGACGUGGUGGAGGGGGCCCUGGCACUCUGUAAGAUGUUAACAACAGAGGGCUUAAGAUCUAAACUAGACCAUUUUCCCUGUUCAGCAGCCAGGCCCACAGCUGCAGGCGGAGGGAUUCGGAUGCCACAAUGUGCCCUCCGCCUGUGACAAUAGGCCCGGCCUCCGAGGUAGUUCCAAUGCUGUUCCCGCUAGGAGUGACAGUAUUGUGCUGAUCUUGUGGUGUCUCGGCCAUCUCGGGGCAAUCAGAAGGACCAUGUGGCUCGCUUCCCUGAUUCUGUUCAAAGUUGCUGGAAUCAGCGGGAUCGGGGGGGAAGGCAUAUAGCCUCUUUCUCAGCCACUCGUGGGCAAAGGCUUCUAGACUGAGUGGUCCGGGGGGGGUUGGAUAUCAAGAACCAGAGGGGGCACUGUGGGUUCCUCUCUGAGCCAAACAGAUCCACCUCCGCUUCCCCAAAGAUUCCCCACAUGCAACUCACUAUUCUGGGAUGUAGUCGCCACUCCCCUUCCGGAGGGCCUUCCUUGGACAGUAUGUCCACCGUAAUGUGUUCAGAAUCCCUGGGAGGUGUACAACUCUUAGUGAGGCCAGAUUCUGUAGACACAACAGAAGGGUAUGUGCCAUCUGGUGGAGGUGGAUGGAACCCAGAACCCCUUGGUGGUUUAUGUACUCUACCACUGUGGUGCUGUCUGUCUGAUCCAGCACAAUGUUUGUCCCCCAGUUGUGGGAGAAAGUUGAACAGAGUUAGUUGAACUGAUCUCAACUCCAGCAUGUUAAUGUGGAGUUUGGACCAGCUGGGGCUCCAUGUCCCACUGGCCGCCCUCCCCCACAAUACUGCUCCCCAGCCUGUCAAGGAGGCGUCUGUUUGAACCAGUUCCCUCCGAUGGAAUCUGCCCAGGUAUAUCCCACCUGAAAGGAAAUCCAGGGAUCACCAUCUUGCCAAUGCUUGAGUACAUUCCUUGGACACAUACAGGUGACAAUACCUGUGUUCUAUGGAUAUCAGAAUAUAUUAGGGAAAAUCCAUUCACAAUCCCCAAAAAUGUAUGGAUGUAAGGAGCCAAACUCAACCGACACCUUGAGUAUGUUGACAUGCACACAAAUAAUUUGAUAUUAAACUGAUUAUGGCAAUAGGCAGAUUUUGCAAUAGUCAUGUCAACACCUUACUCUGCUGAUCUUAAUGGGCGUAAGAUAAAAAUUGAAGUAAGCAUAGGCCGAUUAAAACAGCUGGUUUUCUGAGCAAUCUUCAGAAUUAUUAGAACAUGUAAACACCUUAAUCGGCGUUCUAGCGGUGCAUUUGAUCUGCACAUGUGCUAGCACCAGCCGAGCAAGCCUCCGUCUUUAGCACAACUAUUUUAACUAGAGUAUAUUAUAUAAUGUUAAAGACAUACAUGUUGCCAUAUACAGUACAUAUGAACCUGUUAGCCAUUGAUAAAUGUUUUGGAGCCUUUUUGUAAAAAGGUGUUUAAUUUUUUUGUGAGUAUCCUGCUUCCAUAUUAGUCCAUCCGUGCCAUCAAUGAAGUAAAGUAUGAGAAGUCAGCCGAGGACUUUACCAACAUGGUGUUUGACAAGAUCGACAUCAAUGGAGAUGGUGAGCUGUCCCUGGAGGAGUUCAUGGAGGCAUCCAGACUUAUGUCAAGUAUUAACGAGAGAGAGAGAUGUUUAUUUAUUUUCCCUUUUGUACUUUAAAUAUUUGCAUAUCAUUACAACACUGUAUAUAGACAUACUAUGACAUUUUAGAUGUC
Salvelinus namaycush (lake trout) is the source of this 5852-nucleotide long non-coding RNA. RefSeq lists it as uncharacterized. The transcript is spliced from 5 exons. The record is from RefSeq and is a predicted model, not a curated record. NCBI's taxonomy places the organism in Eukaryota, Metazoa, Chordata, Actinopteri, Salmoniformes, Salmonidae.